Phasianus colchicus (ring-necked pheasant) is the source of this 2525-nucleotide non-coding RNA. Lineage: Eukaryota; Metazoa; Chordata; Aves; Galliformes; Phasianidae. The record is from RefSeq and is a predicted model, not a curated record.
AUAAAAGGGAAAGCUGGGCUCAGAUUAACCUGGAGCUCAGCGAGCUGGGAAGCGGUGGCCAGGUCUCAAAGCCAAUUCCCAGCCCAGGCCCUGUGCUACCUGCUGAACCCAUGCCCAGCAGGGCAGCAGAUCGCUCUGGAUGUGGUUCUGGCAGCAGAGCCCAGCACGCUCCAGUCCUGUGUUUAAGGUAUGUGCUCGCUUUCUGCUUCCCUUUCUGCUCUCUGCAACAGCAGCCGUGCUGCUUCCUGCCUCUCUGCCCAGGGCUGCUGCUGUUACCCCAGAGGAUUUUCUUUGGGAUGCUUUCUCCUUUUCCAAAAUGAGCCCGGCUGGUGGCUGAACCAAAGGGAACACUAUGAAUGUGCCCAGGGCUGCUUGCCCCCCUUCCCCCCGAUCCCGUGGGGAAGGCUGCAGAAAGGUGUAUUUGUGCCUUUCAGGUGUCACCAGCCCAGCUAGAGAAGUGCUCAGCCCGCAGAGCUAACCACAGUUAUUUUAGCUCGCUGGUGUUGAUGUUCACCUCCCAGCUGCAGCAAGCCAGCUCUUUCAGCUGCUUGCAAGGUCCUGUUUCAGCAACAAACACAACUGCUGCUCCUGCCCCGGUUCAAUCCAGGGCUCUGGAGUUUGGGGCUUUUUGUCCCCUCCAAACAACAGCAAGAAGGACUUCAAGAGGCAUUAAAUAGCAAACGGAGGGGAUUUUGCUGUUCAGACCGGAUUGGUACUGCUGGGUCUGGUGAGGGCAGGGGACCUCCAGGGAUGCUGUAAUCAUUGAGUGCCCUCUGCAUCUUGGACUCUUCUGCUGGACAGGCAGAAAAGUGCAUGACCCAUUCAUCUGUCUGUUUUUUGGGCCUCAGCUUCCAGGUGCUUCCUGAGCUCUGUCCUCUGCUCCGUUCAAGGCUUUCCCUUGGCUCCUGCCUGCAGCCAGGAAGUCUGUGAAGAGGGAUUCCCUGGAUGUGACACUGCCCUGGAUGUGAAUCUCCGCUUUUCAGCUCUCUGAAAGGAGCAUCUCAGGCUUUGCCUCAUGAUUGCAGAGGAGGUGGAUAUGCAAAAACCUCCUCCGGCUGCUUUUAAUGCAGGCAAAGGCAGAGACUGUUCACAUCAGGGUGAAAGUUGGAGCUGUCAUCCUCAGGGCAGCAAGAGCCCCCCUGUGUGGUCCUGCCCCUAGCCUGGUUUUUGGGUGGGCAGAUGAGACCCCGUGGGAAACACAGACCCUUUCUGGCCACAAAAACUGGAGCAGGAGCAUCAUCACUUUCUGGGUAUGGACCUUAGCAUCAGCACCCACACACCAACCCCGUGCUUCUGGGAUGUUUAGGAGCCUGUCCUGCCAUAGGGAUGCUCAGGUUCCGGGGGCUCCAGCUAUCAGCACCAGGCUGGGCUGUGCAGCGGGGUGAGAGAAAAGCACCGCUCGCCAUCACCCACCCACAGCCUUGGCAGGGCUCAAAUGGGACUGGAGGGGGGAGAGCAGGGAGGGAAGGAUGGGAGGAGCUGGGACUUCACCGACCCGAUUAACCAGGUUAGAAACCAACCUUGCAAAACCCACAACACGGAUGGGAGCAGGGCUGGAAAUCCCCCUCUCAGCUUUCAGUAGGAGCUGGGAUGCAAGGCACGUUUGGUGGGCACGGCGACGGUGAGCAGUGCUGGAGAGCCAGGAGCAGCGGCGAGGCCCCGAGAAGAGGAUGAGAACAUGGGGCUCAAGUUAUCCUGUCUGAAAGGGUUGAAGAUGUGUGUGAGCAGCGGGAAUGGCAGCACCGGGACCCCAGAACCGGAUGGGAAGCACCUCCACGUGCCCUCCAUCAUCGUCACACCACCCACACCCACAGGGACUAUGCUGUGCCGGGACACACGGAGGGCGACGGGGGGGACAUCGCCACCCUGCAACCAGUGCUGAGCACCCAGAGGGGACCCCAACAGCUUCAGUACUGCCCCCAGGGCUGAAUCCUGCCCUGCUGGGGGUGAUGCUUCCUGGUGUGCUGCUUCACUGGAGAGCCCCAGGAGAGGACGGCGUGCAAAAGCAGAUGGAAAUUUAAUUUUUUAAUGACAGCAGCAGAUGGCAAAAGACACAAAAGUGUAUUCACACCAUGUCAGAGCCAUUUAUAAAGUGCCUGGCGGAGCUGCAGCGCGUGCUGGUGGCACCACGGGUAUAGUAAUGGAUGGGGGAUCCUCUCCUGCAGCCCCCAGACCUACCCAGUGUGGGCUGAUGGGACCUGUGGAGUGGUGGGGAGCACUGGUCCUUUGGGCUCAAGAUGGAGGCAUGGAUGGGUGGACGGAUGAGUGGAGGUAUGGGUGAUUGGAUGGCUGGAUAGGAGGUUAGGUGGGUGGAUGGAUGGAUGGGUGGGUGGCUGGACAAAUGGAAGAGUGGACGCAUGGAUGGACAGAUGGAGGCAUGGAUGUAUAAAUGGGAUGUGUAAAUGAAUAGAUGGAUGAAUGGGCAGACACAUGGGUAGAUGAAUGGGUGGAUGGAUGGAAGAGUGGCCAGACAAAUGGACAGACGAGUGGGUGGACAGAUGGAUGGAUGGACGGAUGGACGGACG